RNAcentral lists this ribosomal RNA (439 nucleotides) under uncultured bacterium. RNAcentral describes it as "partial 16S ribosomal RNA". It matches the Rfam family "Bacterial small subunit ribosomal RNA", at positions 339 to 795 of the family's 1533-position model. The record is from RNAcentral.
CUACGGGAGGCUCCAGUGAGGAAUAUUGCACAAUGGGGGGAACCCUGAUGCAGCAACGCCGCGUGGAGGAUGACGCAUUUCGGUGUGUAAACUCCUUUUAUAUGUCAAGAAAAUGACGGUAGCAUAUGAAUAAGCACCGGCUAACUCCGUGCCAGCAGCCGCGGUAAUACGGAGGGUGCAAGCGUUACUCGGAAUCACUGGGCGUAAAGGACGCGUAGGCGGGUUGGAAAGUCAGGUGUGAAAUCCUACAGCUUAACUGCGGAACUGCACUUGAAACUUCUAAUCUAGAGUAUGGGAGGGGGAGAUGGAAUUAGUGGUGUAGGGGUAAAAUCCGUAGAUAUCACUAGGAAUACCUAAAGCGAAGGCGAUCUCCUGGAACAUUACUGACGCUAAGGCGUGAAAGCGUGGGGAGCAAACAGGAUUAGAUACCCGAGUAGUC